Homo sapiens (human) is the source of this 712-nucleotide long non-coding RNA. Ensembl annotates it as adipocyte associated metabolic related lncRNA 1. Its record names the gene ASMER1. NCBI's taxonomy places the organism in Eukaryota, Metazoa, Chordata, Mammalia, Primates, Hominidae. The record is from Ensembl.
GUAUUAGGCCAGAAAGGUUUCCAUGUUUCAGUUGAAAAUAAGAUGUGAUGUGAUUCAGAGGGAACAGAGUAAACAACUUAAGCAACUGGAGAUGUGGAUAUCAAACCAUCUUAAUUUUUGCUGUGCUUAUCCAGCUGAUGGGACCAGCCUCUCCUACUGACUUUGGAAGCAGCUUUGGAGCUCCAAGUUGAACAACUAUCCACACAGAAAACCACCCUCAUAAGAACCAAAAAUCAGCGUCUUGCUCUGUCCCCAGGCUGGCGUGCAGUGGCACGAUCUCGGCUCACUGCAAGCUCCGCCUCCCAAGCUCAAGUGAUUCUCCAGCCUCGGCCUCCUGAGUAGCUGGGAUUACAGACUCCUGCCCCUGCCACGAGAACACACCCUUUCCAGUUUGCUGGAGAAAUAUAAGAGAAGUCCAGUGAAAGAGAGCUGAGUUUCCCCAAUGAUGCCAUCAAGAUGAACUAACUACAGUUAACCAGCCAGCUGAUAGCAGAUGCAUGAGUGAGCCCAGCUGAGAGCAGGUGAAACUGAAAUUGGCUGUAUCAUCUGAAACUUCAUCUGUGAAGUCCCUGGUGGUUUCCUAGAUGACUACACAGUUGAGUUGCCUCUGAUUGGAAAAGCAGUGUUUUGGUUUUUCAGUUUGUACAAGAGGAAGAAGACGCAUGAUAUGUGUUUGGCUCAUGUGCCUGAAUAUGGCUCCACAGGGAAGACU